RNAcentral lists this ribosomal RNA (525 nucleotides) under Bombus pyrosoma. RNAcentral's name for it is "partial 16S ribosomal RNA". It matches the Rfam family "Bacterial large subunit ribosomal RNA", at positions 1831 to 2626 of the family's 2925-position model. Lineage: Eukaryota; Metazoa; Arthropoda; Insecta; Hymenoptera; Apidae. The record is from RNAcentral.
GGCUUAUUGAUAAUAAUUUUAGGUCAAUCUGCCCAAUGAUUUAAAUUUAAUGGCUGCAGUAUAACUAACUGUACAAAGGUAGCAUAAUCAAUUGUUUUUUAAUUGAAAACUGGGAUGAAAGAAUUAAUGAGAUAUAUUCUGUCUCAUAUAUAUGUUAUGAAAUUAAAUUUUUAGUAAGAAUGCUGAAAUUUAUUUAUGGGACGAUAAGACCCUAUAGAAUUUUAUAUUUAUUUUUAAAUUUUAUUUAAUUUAGGAAUAAAUAUUUAGUUGGGAGGACUGAUAAAUUUAAAUAACUUUACUUUAAAUAUAUACUUUAAUUAAAGAAUAAUUUUAGGUCUUUUAUUAAAAAUUAGAAGAAAAAAUUACCUUAGGGAUAACAGCGUAAUAUCUUUUUAAAGGCCAAAUUAAAAAAGAUGAUUGCGACCUCGAUGUUGAAUUAAGAUAAAUUUUAAAUGAAGAAGUUUAAUAAUUAAGUCUGUUCGACUUUUAAAAUCUUACAUGAUUUGAGUUCAAAUCGACGUGAGU